GAAAAGGAGAGAAGUGGUACUGAGAUGCCUGAUUGAGUACAUAUGGGAGGGAAAGGAAGACCUCAUCAGUGUCCACCAUAGUCAUGAUGAAACAGAGGUGCACGCUGAGCUUGGCAGUUCCCCACUGAAAAUCAGCCAAACACGAUUGGGAUUAUCACAGUAGAAGGACAGCCCAUGGUCAGAGGUGUGCCAAACCUGUAGAAAACCCCCUGUUUGGACUUGUCUAUGCCCACAACCUCUAAUAUCACUCAAAUCUGGUGUAUACUUCUGAGAUAUAUCACAGGCUCUUUGUGGGAUUGGACCCUAUGCAUACUUUUGUAUGUUUUGUAGGCACUGUUAAAAGUGACACUAGUUGACAUUGAAUAAAUGUUAUUGUCUUUAA
Carassius auratus (goldfish) is the source of this 382-nucleotide long non-coding RNA. RefSeq lists it as uncharacterized. The transcript has 2 exons. Lineage: Eukaryota; Metazoa; Chordata; Actinopteri; Cypriniformes; Cyprinidae. The record is from RefSeq and is a predicted model, not a curated record.